GACGAACGCUGGCGGCGUGCUUAACACAUGCAAGUCGAACGGAAAGGCCCCGCUUUUGUGGGGUGCUCGAGUGGCGAACGGGUGAGUAACACGUGAGUAACCUUCCCUUGACUUUGGGAUAACUUCAGGAAACUGGGGCUAAUACCGGAUAGGAGCUCCUGCUGCAUGGUGGGGGUUGGAAAGUUUCGGCGGGUGGGGAUGGACUCGCGGCUUAUCAGCUUGUUGGUGGGGUAGUGGCUUACCAAGGCUUUGACGGGUAGCCGGCAUGAGAGGGUGACAACGACCAUUGGUCAGGAGCAACGGCACAAACUCCAGAGGCAGGGAGCAGUGGGGAAUAUUCAAGUAUGGGACGAAGCCUAAUGUAGCAACGCGGCGUGCCGGAUAACGGCCUUAGGGUUGUAAACUGACUUCGCAUGUGGUGAAGCCGGAGUGAGGGUAAUGGCUAAAGAAGCAAAGGCUAACUACGUG
This 468-nucleotide ribosomal RNA is filed under the name uncultured bacterium. RNAcentral describes it as "partial 16S ribosomal RNA". It matches the Rfam family "Bacterial small subunit ribosomal RNA", at positions 28 to 507 of the family's 1533-position model. The record is from RNAcentral.